AGAUUAGGAGGAUGAACCUUGCAGAGAUCUUUCACCUAUGACAUAAAUUCUUUUUUCUUUGUGGUUGUCAUUCUUUUAGUAGCAGCUUCCUACAAUGAUAUGUUUUUCAAAUUAAUAUUAGCAGCACAACACUACAUAUGAAACAUGAUCAAUGAAAAAUUUAUAACAGAAGAACCAAACUUGCCAUCCACACAGAAAGCAUUGCAAGCAUCCACAGGAGAAAGCAUCUAAAUAAUUAGAGACCACAUACCCCUUUGCUCAAUUCUCCAAUUCUAGUAUAGACUCAAUAAAUCAUUAGCCAAACCUUUUUUGCAAUUUUAAAAGUUGAAAGAAACUAAUUGAGAAAAUGUAAAACUACAAGCAACAAAACAUGUGAUAAUUGAGAAGCUACAACCUGAAUUCGAAUUUUAAAAGUUGAAAGAAACUAAUCAGAAAAUGUUUAGAAACAAAAGAUGGAUCAAAUUAAUGAACUUGAUUUCUCUACUCCUGUCUCAUAUCAUAGAGCUUCUCCACAGAGAAUACAAGAGAAGAUGCAGUUAAACAACAAUUAGAGAUACUUGGUCAGUUCAAUAGUCCUCAUUCUCAUACAACAACAAAUAAUAAUAGUAAUGUUUCCAACACAAGUUUACAGCAACCUCCUUCUGCUAAGAGGAAAAGGAGCCUCCCAGGAAAUCCAGGUAAACUUUCUAACAACCUUCUAAGUUAAGUUGACUCCAUUUUUCUCAUUUAAUUGGUUCCUAGUUUUCAUUUUUGUUUAUUUUCUUGCUUUGUGAGCUUUACUAGUUUAAGUAACACUUCCUUAGUAAGGGUUUUGCAAGUUUUUUCUCUCUAGAAUUCAAACAGAUAAUCAAGUAAAGUUGGAGUCAGAAAUGAUUAUUGAUAUCCAUGAGCUGCAUAUGCUAAUACCUAGCUAGAAUAAUAUAACAAAUUAAAACUAUGGUAUCUUUCCUUUAUGAAAAAACGAAUGAGCAUAUAUUUCUUCAUCAUUUCUCAUUGAUUCUUAAAAUGAAACAAUGAUGUAGAGUUUGCUUGUAUAUUUGCUCAAAACGAGCUUGUGAAAAAGUUUCCCUGUUAAUUAGAAUACAUUUGUUCUGUCACAAAAUUAAUUAGAAUACAUUUGAUACAAGCCAUGAAGAUAUAUAGUCAAGCUAUACCUGGAUUUGAAACGGGAUUCGAGCGAUGGAAGGUUGAAGUUGGAUUGAGUGAUUGAUGCUGGAUUUGAACAAAUGAAGUUGAAUUUAGGGCGAUUUGAACGAAAAUAUGUAUUUGGAGGGAUUUGAAUGAAUGGAGCGAAUUUCAGUGAUUGAAGAUGAAUUUUAGCGAUUGAAGCUGCAUUUGAAGUGAAUAACACAGAAGAUUUGAGUGAUUUAGCCGAUUU
This 1378-nucleotide long non-coding RNA is filed under the name Lupinus angustifolius (narrow-leaved blue lupine). RNAcentral describes it as "long non-coding RNA (LANG_LNC001527)". Lineage: Eukaryota; Viridiplantae; Streptophyta; Magnoliopsida; Fabales; Fabaceae. The record is from RNAcentral.